UACGAAGGGGGCUAGCGUUGCUCGGAAUCACUGGGCGUAAAGGGUGCGUAGGCGGGUCUUUAAGUCAGGGGUGAAAUCCUGGAGCUCAACUCCAGAACUGCCUUUGAUACUGAAGAUCUUGAGUUCGGGAGAGGUGAGUGGAACUGCGAGUGUAGAGGUGAAAUUCGUAGAUAUUAGGAAGAACACCGGUGGCGAAGGCGGCUCACUGGUCCGGUACUGACGCUGAGGUGCGAAAGCGUGGGGAGCAAACAGG
This 253-nucleotide ribosomal RNA is filed under the name uncultured bacterium. RNAcentral's name for it is "partial 16S ribosomal RNA". It matches the Rfam family "Bacterial small subunit ribosomal RNA", at positions 524 to 776 of the family's 1533-position model. The record is from RNAcentral.